Small nucleolar RNA from Hyaena hyaena (striped hyena), 79 nucleotides. RefSeq annotates it as small nucleolar RNA SNORD45. The transcript has a single exon. Lineage: Eukaryota; Metazoa; Chordata; Mammalia; Carnivora; Hyaenidae. The record is from RefSeq and is a predicted model, not a curated record.
GGUCAAUGAUGAGCUGGCAUGUAUUCUGAAUCCAAAGCUGAUUAUUAUUGCUUUAGCUCUAGAAUUACUCUGAGACCUG